Suricata suricatta (meerkat) is the source of this 782-nucleotide long non-coding RNA. RefSeq lists it as uncharacterized. The record is from RefSeq and is a predicted model, not a curated record. The transcript has 2 exons. Lineage: Eukaryota; Metazoa; Chordata; Mammalia; Carnivora; Herpestidae.
GAAAUUUCUUGAUGAAUCCUGGACCGUAGUGAUUCAUGGUAGCUACAUUAUGCUGUGCCUGUCACAAGCAUGAAGUCACAGAAUCCUCACAAAAGCCCCAAGAAGUGGGUUAUGAUUAUUCCCAUUUUGUAAAGGAAGCAAUUGAUGCUUGGAGAGGUUAAGAAGCUUACUCAAAGGACCAUUUCUGAUACUCAGUGGUUUUGGGCUUUGAAUCCAUGUCCAUCUGACUCUUGCACUCCUAUGAACAAUUUACGGGCUCAGCCAUCAAGAACAAUGCCAGCUAAACACGUGCCAGCCACUUUUCUAAGGACAUUGGUAACUCAUCUAGUAACUCAUUUUAUUCCUACAAUAACCGUAAGAGGGAUGCACAUUACCUUUAUAACUGCAUAUGGAUGGAUAAACUGAGAUGUGGAGAGUUUAAAUAGCAGCCCAAACAAUGAAAAAAAAUGGAGCCCCCCAAAAGUUGUGAGAUUUGCCCAGGACUUUUUUUCCCUGGUCCCCAGACUACCUCUUGGUGAUGUCAGUAUAUUUGUUUUUGUUUUCUUGGGAGUGAACUGUCCCAGAGUGUCUGCUGCUGAUGUAUUAAUGGGGGGAUGCAGAAUGAUAUAAUACUUGUCAGCCAUUUCAUUGUGAAUUUACUCCAGAUAGUUUUUGUUUAAUCAGAGCAAUAUUUCCUAGGUUGCCAGGCAACAUGGCAAUGGCAUUUCAGGAUUUACUGUCAGCUUUUGAAAUAGAAAAAGGCUCUGUCUUUUGCUUCCAGAAUAAACUCUCUCUCUCACUCA